AAGUGACGGAUAAUUUUAUCAAUUUUCAACCUUUCUGUUCAAUCGUUGUGUAAAAGCUUAAAUAUUUGAAUAAGUGAAACUGGAAUAUUAAUUUUGCAACCAAUUUUAAUUUUUAUUCAUAGCUUUUAUCAUGCUUACAAGGCAUGUAUCAACGGGAUUGCUUGAUGUCUACAGAAAUGUUUCAUUGUUUUGUGAUUUAACUGACAAUAUAUUGUCACACAGAUGUUUCAUUAUUUCAUAACUUAGUAACAAAGAUAAUGGUGUAACCCAUAAAAAACCAUUUUACAUGGCCAAGCACAGAGCUUUUAUUGUAAUCAAAAUAAUUUUCAAGUUAAUUUUGAUUUAAUCAGCUGUUAGAUGUCAAAUUUGAUUACGCUCUUGAAAACUUGGCGAAAGUCAGAGAAGAAAAAAUUGUAUAUAAAAAGAGUCAGAUAACGAUUAAAAUGUUAUCACUUUAUCUUACAGCUUUCAAACCAGUUCAACAUAUUGAAACAAUUCAACUUCAGCGACAAGAUGAAAUUCUUAGUAGUUUUAUCUCUUGUUUUAUACCUCGGUUUCGCUUAUGGAGCCACCAUUGACCGAUCAAGGCGAGCCAUUCAUUGUCCAUCAUUACAAGAUAUCAUAGAUGCUCUGGAUAGUAAUAAUGCUCCUAAAGCGGUCGCAGAUGUCGUUUUUCUUGCCACUUGUCUCGUUUUGCGAUUGGAAUAAACUUGCCCAUUGAAUUUUUGAUUCAACUUUGGCUUUAUCAGAAGCAACUAUUCCUUUCCAACUUUAUCAGGCAAACCAUUAUAUAGCAAAUAAUAUGUGAUUAUUCACAUAUUUCUUGACCUAAAAUAAUAAAUAAUUCAUCAAAAUCACAAA
Tetranychus urticae (two-spotted spider mite) is the source of this 861-nucleotide long non-coding RNA. RefSeq lists it as uncharacterized. NCBI's taxonomy places the organism in Eukaryota, Metazoa, Arthropoda, Arachnida, Trombidiformes, Tetranychidae. The record is from RefSeq and is a predicted model, not a curated record.